AACGAACGCUGGCGGCAUGCCUAACACAUGCAAGUCGAACGCGUGUAGCAAUACACGAGUGGCGGACGGGUGAGUAACGCGUGGGAACCUGCCCAGUGGUAGGGAAUAACUGCGGGAAACUGCAGCUAAUACCCUAUACGCCCUUUGGGGAAAGAUUCAUCGCCAUUGGAGGGGCCCGCGUCGGAUUAGCUAGUUGGCGGGGUAAUGGCCCACCAAGGCAACGAUCCGUAGCUGGCUGAGAGGAUGAUCAGCCACACUGGGACUGAGAUACGGCCCAGACUCCUACGGGAGGCAGCAGUGGGGAAUAUUGGACAAUGGGGGAAACCCUGAUCCAGCAAUGCCGCGUGAGUGAAGAAGGCCUUCGGGUUG
This 369-nucleotide ribosomal RNA is filed under the name uncultured bacterium. RNAcentral's name for it is "bacterial SSU rRNA". It matches the Rfam family "Bacterial small subunit ribosomal RNA", at positions 29 to 425 of the family's 1533-position model. The record is from RNAcentral.